UACGUAGGGCGCAAGCGUGUCCGGAAUUAUUGGGCGUAAAGAGCUCGUAGGCGGUCUGUCACGUCGGCUGUGAAAACCCGAGGCUCAACCUCGGGCCUGCAGUCGAUACGGGCAGACUAGAGUUCGGUAGGGGAGACUGGAAUUCCUGGUGUAGCGGUGAAAUGCGCAGAUAUCAGGAGGAACACCGGUGGCGAAGGCGGGUCUCUGGGCCGAAACUGGACGCUGGAGGAGCGAAAGCGUGGGGAGCGAACAGG
This 254-nucleotide ribosomal RNA is filed under the name uncultured bacterium. Its description in RNAcentral is "partial 16S ribosomal RNA". It matches the Rfam family "Bacterial small subunit ribosomal RNA", at positions 524 to 776 of the family's 1533-position model. The record is from RNAcentral.